AGCAGCCGCGGUAAUUCCAGCUCCAAUAGCGUAUAUUAAAGUUGUUGCAGUUAAAAAGCUCGUAGUUGAAUUUUAGGCCUGGCCGGGCGGUCCGUCUUUGGCGAGUACUGUCCUGUGUCGGGUCUUCCUUCUGGUGAACCAGCAUGUCCUUUAUUGGGUGUGCUGGGGAGCCAGGACCAUUACCUUGAAAAAUUAGAGUGUUUAAAGCGGGCUUUUGCUUGAAUAGAUUAGCAUGGAAUAAUAGAAUAGGACGUUGUGGUUCUAUUUUGUUGGUUUCUAGGACCACCGUAAUGAUUAAUAGGGAUAGUUGGGGGCAUUAGUAUUCAAUUGUCAGAGGUGAAAUUCUUGGAUUUAUUGAAGACUAACUAUUGCGAAAGCAUUUGCCAAGGAUGUUUUCAUUAAUCAAGAACGAAGGUUAGGGGAUCGAAGACGAUCAGAUACCGUCGUAGUCUUAACCAUAAACUAUGCCGACUAGGAAUCGGGCGACGUUAUUUUCAUGACUCGCUCGGCGCCUUAUGGG
Molecule: ribosomal RNA, 520 nt
Filed under: uncultured Archaeospora
Lineage: Eukaryota; Fungi; Glomeromycota; Glomeromycetes; Archaeosporales; Archaeosporaceae
Description: SSU rRNA
Rfam family: Eukaryotic small subunit ribosomal RNA
Source: RNAcentral